CGGUUGAUCCUGCCGGAGGUCACUGCUAUUGGGAUUCGANUAAGCCAUGCGAGUCGAGAGGGUUCGGCCCUCGGCUGACGGCUCAGUAACACGUGGAUAAUCUGCCCUUAGGUGGAGGAUAAUCUCGGGAAACUGAGGAUAAUACUCCAUAGAUCUAGGAUGCUGGAAUGCAUCUAGAUUGAAAGCUCCGGCGCCUAAGGAUGAGUCUGCGGACUAUCAGGUUGUAGUCAGGGUAAAGACCUGACUAGCCUACGACGGAUACGGGUUGUGAGAGCAAUAACCCGGAGACGAUAUCUGAGACACGAUAUCGGGCCCUACGGGGCGCAGCAGGCGCGAAAACUUCACACUGUGCGAAAGCGCGAUGAGGGAAUCCCAAGUGUUUGCUCGUAAGAGUAAACUGUUUCUUUGUUUAAAACGCAGAGAGAGUAAGGGCUGGGUAAGACGGGUGCCAGCCGCCGCGGUACUACCUGCAGCUCGAGUGGUGAUCAUUAUUAUUGGGCCUAAAACGUCCGUAGCCGGUUUAGUAAAUGCCUGGGUAAAUCGUGUAGCUUAACUAUACGACUUCCGGGUAGACUGCUAAACUUGAGACCGGGAGAGGCUAGAGGUACUCCUGGGGUAGAGGCGAAAUUCUGUAAUCCUAGGGGGACCACCAGUGGCGAAGGCGUCUAGCUAGAACGGGUCUGACGGUGAGGGACGAAGCCCUGGGGCACAAACCGGAUUAGAUACCCGGGUAGUCCAGGGUGUAAACGCUGCUUGCUUGAUGUUAGUUGGGCUCCGAGCCCAACUAGUGUCGGAGAGAAGUUGUUAAGCAAGCUGCCUGGGAAGUACGGUCGCAAGGCUGAAACUUAAAGGAAUUGGCGGGGGAGCAC
This 869-nucleotide ribosomal RNA is filed under the name uncultured archaeon. RNAcentral's name for it is "bacterial SSU rRNA". It matches the Rfam family "Archaeal small subunit ribosomal RNA", at positions 5 to 879 of the family's 1478-position model. The record is from RNAcentral.